UACGGAGGGGGCAAGCGUUGUCCGGAAUUAUUGGGCGUAAAGAGCUCGUAGGCGGUUUGUCGCGUCGAAUGUGAAAACCCGGGGCUCAACCCCGGGCCUGCAUUCGAUACGGGCAGACUAGAGUUCGGUAGGGGAGUCUGGAAUUCCUGGUGUAGCGGUGAAAUGCGCAGAUAUCAGGAGGAACACCGGUGGCGAAGGCGGGACUCUGGGCCGAUACUGACGCUGAGGAGCGAAAGCGUGGGGAGCAAACAGG
This 253-nucleotide ribosomal RNA is filed under the name uncultured bacterium. RNAcentral describes it as "partial 16S ribosomal RNA". It matches the Rfam family "Bacterial small subunit ribosomal RNA", at positions 524 to 776 of the family's 1533-position model. The record is from RNAcentral.